RNAcentral lists this ribosomal RNA (481 nucleotides) under uncultured bacterium. RNAcentral describes it as "partial 16S ribosomal RNA". It matches the Rfam family "Bacterial small subunit ribosomal RNA", at positions 28 to 507 of the family's 1533-position model. The record is from RNAcentral.
GAUGAACGCUGGCGGCGUGCCUAACACAUGCAAGUCGAGCGAAGCACUUACUUUAGAUUUCUUCGGAAUGACGAAGUUUGUGACUGAGCGGCGGACGGGUGAGUAACGCGUGGGCAACCUGCCCUGUACAGGGGGAUAACAGUUAGAAAUGACUGCUAAUACCGCAUAAGCCCCCAUCUUCGCAUGAAGCAUUGGGAAAAACUCCGGUGGUACAGGAUGGGCCCGCGUCUGAUUAGCUAGUUGGUAAGGUAACGGCUUACCAAGGCGACGAUCAGUAGCCGACCUGAGAGGGUGACCGGCCACAUUGGGACUGAGACACGGCCGAAACUCCUACGGGAGGCAGCAGUGGGGAAUAUUGCACAAUGGGGGAAACCCUGAUGCAGCGACGCCGCGUGAGCGAUGAAGUAUUGCGGUAUGUAAAGCUCUAUCAGCAGGGAAGAAAGUGACGGUACCUGAUGAAGAAGCCCCGGCUAACUACGUG